Coccomyxa subellipsoidea C-169 is the source of this 71-nucleotide transfer RNA. It matches the Rfam family "tRNA". From Rfam's summary of the family: Transfer RNA (tRNA) molecules are approximately 80 nucleotides in length. Their secondary structure includes four short double-helical elements and three loops (D, anti-codon, and T loops). The record is from Rfam. NCBI's taxonomy places the organism in Eukaryota, Viridiplantae, Chlorophyta, Trebouxiophyceae, Coccomyxaceae.
UCGGUGAUGGUAUAAUGCUAGAACUCUUGCCUGUCACGCAAGUAAUUCGGGUUCAAUUCUCGGUCAGCGAG